RNAcentral lists this ribosomal RNA (1579 nucleotides) under Parocnus serus. Its description in RNAcentral is "16S ribosomal RNA". It matches the Rfam family "Bacterial large subunit ribosomal RNA", at positions 236 to 2837 of the family's 2925-position model. The record is from RNAcentral. Lineage: Eukaryota; Metazoa; Chordata; Mammalia; Pilosa; Megalonychidae.
GCCAGACCUAGCCCUACGCAACUCCCAACUCAACUACCAACAACACCCAAAAACCAAAACAUUUACUCCCAUAAAAGUAUAUGUGAUAGAAAUUUUACCAACAGGCGCUAUAGAGAUAGUACCGCAAGGGAAAGAUGAAAGAAAAACUAACAGCGCAAAAUAGCAAAGAUACACCCUUCUACCUUUUGCAUAAUGAAUUAACCAGAAAGACCCUUGCAAAGAGCACUUUAGUUAAAAACCCCGAACCCAGACGAGCUACCUGCGGACAGUAUGAGAACCAAUUCAUCUAUGUGGCAAAAUAGUGAAAAGAUCUUCAGGUAGAGGUGAAAAGCCAAUCGAGCCUGGCGAUAGCUGGUUGUCCAGAAACUGAAUCUAAGUUCAACCUAAAAUUUACCCAAAGAACAUAACACCGAAUCGCAACGUAAAUUUUAGAUAUAGUCAACAGAGGUACAGCUCUGUUGACAAGGGACAAACCCCCCUUAGAGAGUAACUUCAUCCCACACUCCAUAGUAGGCCUAAAAGCAGCCACCAAUAAAGAAAGCGUUCAAGCUCAACAACAAUCACACCAAAAAUUCCAGAAGUAGACCAAACCAACUCCUAAACCCCCACUGGACCAAUCUAUAACAAUAGAAGAGACAAUGUUAAUAUAAGUAACAAGAACAAACUUCUCCAUGCACAAGCUUAUAUCAGAACGGACCAACCACUGAUAGUUAACGGCCAGACCUCUCCACACCACCGAACAUUAAUACAGGCCACCACCCGCCGUUAACCCAACACUGGAGUGCACACUGGAAAGAUUAAAAGAGGCAGAAGGAACUCGGCAAACACAAAUCCCGCCUGUUUACCAAAAACAUCACCUCUAGCAUAACAAUUAUUAGAGGCAUCGCCUGCCCAGUGACACAUGUUCAACGGCCGCGGUACCCUGACCGUGCAAAGGUAGCAUAAUCAUUUGUUCCCUAAUUAGGGACUUGUAUGAAAGGCCGAACGAGGAUUUUACUGUCUCCUACCUCCAAUCAGUGAAAUUGACCUCCCCGUGAAGAGGCGGGGAUGAACCUAUAAGACGAGAAGACCCUAUGGAGCUUUAAUUAACUAGCCCAACCACAAUACCUACAAACCGACAGGAACAACAACCAACGACCUGGGCUGGCAAUUUCGGUUGGGGUGACCUCGGAGCACAAAAAACCCUCCGAAUGGCUAUGUACUUAGACCUACCAGUCAACGUACCCCAAUACCAUUAAUUGACCCAAACAAUUGAUCAACGGAACAAGUUACCCUAGGGAUAACAGCGCAAUCCUAUUUCAGAGUCCAUAUCGACAAUAGGGUUUACGACCUCGAUGUUGGAUCAGGACAUCCCAAUGGCGCAACCGCUAUUAAUGGUUCGUUUGUUCAACGAUUAAAGUCCUACGUGAUCUGAGUUCAGACCGGAGCAAUCCAGGUCGGUUUCUAUCUAUAAACCUUUUCUCCCAGUACGAAAGGACAAGAGAAAUAGGGCCCACUCUGCUAGAGCGCCCUAAAGUCAAACAGAUGAACUAAUCUAAAUCUAGUCGACACCCCACCCCACAACCCAAGACAAGGGUUU